CCUGAGAGAGGAGUCACUAGAAGUAGAAAGGGUAUUUGCUCACUCACCUGGUGCUCCGUGAGCCGGGAUCCCACAGCUGAAUCCCUGCC
Long non-coding RNA from Myotis davidii, 89 nucleotides. RefSeq lists it as uncharacterized. The transcript has 3 exons. Lineage: Eukaryota; Metazoa; Chordata; Mammalia; Chiroptera; Vespertilionidae. The record is from RefSeq and is a predicted model, not a curated record.